RNAcentral lists this ribosomal RNA (482 nucleotides) under uncultured bacterium. RNAcentral describes it as "partial 16S ribosomal RNA". It matches the Rfam family "Bacterial small subunit ribosomal RNA", at positions 30 to 507 of the family's 1533-position model. The record is from RNAcentral.
AUUGAACGCUGGCGGCAGGCCUAACACGCAAGUCGAGCGGAUGAAGGGAGCUUGCUCCUGGAUUCAGCGGCGGACGGGUGAGUAAUGCCUAGGAAUCUGCCUGGUAGUGGGGGAUAACGUCCGGAAACGGGCGCUAAUACCGCAUACGUCCUGAGGGAGAAAGUGGGGGAUCUUCGGACCUCACGCUAUCAGAUGAGCCUAGGUCGGAUUAGCUAGUUGGUGGGGUAAAGGCCUACCAAGGCGACGAUCCGUAACUGGUCUGAGAGGAUGAUCAGUCACACUGGAACUGAGACACGGUCCAGACUCCUACGGGAGGCAGCAGUGGGGAAUAUUGGACAAUGGGCGAAAGCCUGAUCCGGCCAUGCCGCGUGUGUGAAGAAGGUCUUCGGAUUGUAAAGCACUUUAAGUUGGGAGGAAGGGCAGUAAGUUAAUACCUUGCUGUUUUGACGUUACCAACAGAAUAAGCACCGGCUAACUUCGUG